Non-coding RNA from Stegodyphus mimosarum, 42 nucleotides. Lineage: Eukaryota; Metazoa; Arthropoda; Arachnida; Araneae; Eresidae. The record is from Rfam.
GAAUUUUUGAUUAACAAACUCAACGAUUUCGUCAUCUGGAAG